UGGGGAAUAUUGCACAAUGGGCGCAAGCCUGAUGCAGCCAUGCCGCGUGUAUGAAGAAGGCCUUCGGGUUGUAAAGUACUUUCAGCGGGGAGGAAGGUGUUGAGGUUAAUAACCUCAGCAAUUGACGUUACCCGCAGAAGAAGCACCGGCUAACUCCGUGCCAGCAGCCGCGGUAAUACGGAGGGUGCAAGCGUUAAUCGGAAUUACUGGGCGUAAAGCGCACGCAGGCGGUCUGUCAAGUCGGAUGUGAAAUCCCCGGACUCAACCUGGGAACUGCAUUCGAAACUGGCAGGCUAGAGUCUUGUAGAGGGGGGUAGAAUUCCAGGUGUAGCGGUGAAAUGCGUAGAGAUCUGGAGGAAUACCGGUGGCGAAGGCGGCCCCCUGGACAAAGACUGACGCUCAGGUGCGAAAGCGUGGGGAGCAAACA
Molecule: ribosomal RNA, 427 nt
Filed under: uncultured bacterium
Lineage: Bacteria
Description: partial 16S ribosomal RNA
Rfam family: Bacterial small subunit ribosomal RNA
Source: RNAcentral